UACGGAAGUGCCUAGCGUUGUUCGGAAUUACUGGGCGUAAAGAGCGCGUAGGCGGCUUACCAAGUUGGAGGUGAAAUCCCGGAGCUCAACUCCGGAACUGCCUUCAAAACUGGUAGGCUCGAGUCCGGAAGAGGGGCGUGGAAUUCCCAGUGUAGAGGUGAAAUUCGUAGAUAUUGGGAAGAACACCGGUGGCGAAGGCGGCGCCCUGGUCCGGUACUGACGCUGAGGCGCGAAAGCGUGGGGAGCAAACAGG
This 253-nucleotide ribosomal RNA is filed under the name uncultured bacterium. RNAcentral's name for it is "partial 16S ribosomal RNA". It matches the Rfam family "Bacterial small subunit ribosomal RNA", at positions 524 to 776 of the family's 1533-position model. The record is from RNAcentral.